CCCUUAUCGGGCAGGGAGACAGUGUCAGGUGGGCAGUUUGACUGGGGCGGUCGCCUCCUAAAAUGUAACGGAGGCGCCCAAAGGUUCCCUCAGAAUGGUUGGAAAUCAUUCGCAGAGUGUAAAGGCACAAGGGAGCUUGACUGCGAGACCUACAAGUCGAGCAGGGACGAAAGUCGGGCUUAGUGAUCCGGUGGUUCCGCAUGGAAGGGCCAUCGCUCAACGGAUAAAAGCUACCCCGGGGAUAACAGGCUUAUCUCCCCCAAGAGUCCACAUCGACGGGGAGGUUUGGCACCUCGAUGUCGGCUCAUCGCAUCCUGGGGCUGUAGUCGGUCCCAAGGGUUGGGCUGUUCGCCCAUUAAAGCGGUACGCGAGCUGGGUUCAGAACGUCGUGAGACAGUUCGGUCCCUAUCCGUCGCGGGCGCAGGAAAUUUGAGAGGAGCUGUCCUUAGUACGAGAGGACCGGGAUGGACGCACCGCUGGUGUACCAGUUGUUCUGCCAAGGGCAUCGCUGGGUAGCUAUGUGCGGACGGGAUAAGUGCUGAAAGCAUCUAAGCAUGAAGCCCCCCUCAAGAUGAGAUUUCCCAUUCCGCAAGGAAGUAAGAUCCCUGAAAGAUGAUCAGGUUGAUAGGUCUGAGGUGGAAGCGUGGUGACACGUGGAGCUGACAGAUACUAAUAGAUCGAGGACUUAACCUAU
This 694-nucleotide ribosomal RNA is filed under the name Bacillus pumilus. RNAcentral describes it as "partial 23S ribosomal RNA". It matches the Rfam family "Bacterial large subunit ribosomal RNA", at positions 2233 to 2925 of the family's 2925-position model. Lineage: Bacteria; Bacillati; Bacillota; Bacilli; Caryophanales; Bacillaceae. The record is from RNAcentral.